This 185-nucleotide ribosomal RNA is filed under the name uncultured Staphylococcus sp. RNAcentral's name for it is "partial 16S ribosomal RNA". It matches the Rfam family "Bacterial small subunit ribosomal RNA", at positions 155 to 334 of the family's 1533-position model. The record is from RNAcentral. Lineage: Bacteria; Bacillati; Bacillota; Bacilli; Caryophanales; Staphylococcaceae.
ACCGUGAGCUAAUACCGGAUAAUAUUUUGAACCGCAUGGUUCAAAAUUGAAAGACGGUCUUGCUGUCACUUAUAGAUGGAUCCGCGCUGCAUUAGCUAGUUGGUAAGGUAACGGCUUACCAAGGCAACGAUGCAUAGCCGACCUGAGAGGGUGAUCGGCCACACUGGAACUGAGACACGGUCCAG